GACAGAGGGUGCAAACGUUGUUCGGAAUUACUGGGCGUAAAGCGCGUGUAGGCUGCUUGGAAAGUCGGAUGUGAAAGCCCUGGGCUCAACCUAGGAAGUGCAUUCGAAACUUCCAAGCUGGAGUGCUGGAGAGGAAGGCGGAAUUCUCGGUGUAGAGGUGAAAUUCGUAGAUAUCGAGAGGAACACCGGCGGCGAAGGCGGCCUUCUGGACAGUGACUGACGCUGAGACGCGAAAGCGUGGGGAGCAAACAGG
RNAcentral lists this ribosomal RNA (253 nucleotides) under uncultured bacterium. Its description in RNAcentral is "partial 16S ribosomal RNA". It matches the Rfam family "Bacterial small subunit ribosomal RNA", at positions 524 to 776 of the family's 1533-position model. The record is from RNAcentral.